Molecule: small nuclear RNA, 107 nt
Filed under: Mus spretus (western wild mouse)
Lineage: Eukaryota; Metazoa; Chordata; Mammalia; Rodentia; Muridae
Source: RNAcentral
GUACUUGCGUCGGCAGCACAUAUACUAAAAUUGGAAAGAUACAGAGAAGAUUAACAUGGCCCCUGUGCAAGGAUGACACGCAAGUUCGUGAAGCAUUCCAUAUUUUU